RNAcentral lists this long non-coding RNA (472 nucleotides) under Rattus norvegicus (Norway rat). Its description in RNAcentral is "long non-coding RNA NONRATT003613". The record is from RNAcentral. Lineage: Eukaryota; Metazoa; Chordata; Mammalia; Rodentia; Muridae.
UCAGCAGUUUUCCCAGAUGAUAGGCUGAGCAAAUUUUGGAAGAUCCCCAUAAGAAAGUUCUCGGAUAUAUUUUGAAAGCUGCAGCAUCUCUAUAGGGAUUUGUGCAUUGUUGAUUGUCCUCUCUCCUCAGGUUAGCAGUGGAAACUUGGAUUUUUUGUUGUAAGAAGUUGGAGCUGGGAACUGGAAAGGAGGUGCUGAGGAGGUAACCCAUAGUAGCACACACAGCUCAUGGAGGAAAAUAAACCAGAGCAUUAGCUGCAGCCCGGGUUGAAUCCUUGGAAGGGCGGCUAAAACAAGAAGACCCAUGGCGGGGUGGUUAGCUGGAAACACCUUGAGGCCAGGGCUGAGUGAUGUGGAGAGCCCAGCUGUGAAGAGAUUCAACCCUACCUUCCCAUGUACUGCUCGGUAUGAUCUCAAACAGAUUACUGUAGGUUUUCCUCAGUUGUAAAUGGAUUAAAAUGUUACUUAAUUC